Rosa rugosa (rugosa rose) is the source of this 2269-nucleotide long non-coding RNA. RefSeq lists it as uncharacterized. NCBI's taxonomy places the organism in Eukaryota, Viridiplantae, Streptophyta, Magnoliopsida, Rosales, Rosaceae. The record is from RefSeq and is a predicted model, not a curated record. The transcript is spliced from 2 exons.
ACACCUACUAUAAAUAAUAAUAACCCUAGGUAGCUUUUCCAAUUAUCUCAGUAUCUCACCUCAGCCGUCUCCCUCUUCUCUCUCUCACUCCUUUCUUGUCUCACCAGUCGCCCCUCUCUCACCCGCGUCACUCUCAUCCUCUUCUCUCUCACGUCUCAGGCUCUCAGCCCUCUCUCUCUCUCGUCUUAGCCCUCUCUCACCCUCUUCUCUCUCACCAUUUGCAUACCAAAUUCAAGCCGUCAACAUGAGGUCCACUGCGUCAUCAGAUCCAUCCACCACGUCAUAGCAGCUGUGCUUCUAUCUCUCUGUCUCUCUCACAGUCUUCAACCCUUGCAUAUCUUCUCUAUUUGGGUUUGUAUAUAUAUAUUAUUCAAAUUAUGGCUUAUGAUUUUUGAAUUAUGUGUUGCAGGGAAUCAUAGCAGAUCUGGAUCUGGAGGGGUUGAGAUGAAGUGGGAAAUUUGUUUUGUAAAUCUUGUAAAUGAUAUGUUGUUUGUAAUCUUGUAAUCUGUAAAUCUGGGCUAUUGCUUGACCAAGAAUCUCACCUUCUUACGAUCAAUCUAUAAAAAGUAUAUAAAAGAAAAGAUAAAGCUCAGAAAAUUUGGUAGUUAUUUGUUAAUUUUUUGCUAUAUGAGAAAUAGGGGUUGAAAUUGGGUUAAUCAGUAUAAAAAUUAUAAGUUAGUAAAGGCAAAUAAAAACAGACAUUUGAGAAAAAGGAAAAAAAAAAGCCCAUUAAAAUAACCCGAACCGACAUGGGCCGACUCGAAAAUUCGGCCCAACCGAAUAUUCGGCCCAAUCAUUUUUUAGUCGGUUGUCGGUUUGGGCUUUGGGCCUAACCGACUGUUUCGGGUCGGAAUCGGUUUGGGCCUGAAACCGACCCGCCCCGACAUAUGCCCACCCCUACCGUUAAUUGAAACCGUCAGUAUCUGACGUGGCAUGCCAAACUCAACAGUAGUGGGUCCCACUUGGAAGGGAAAUUUCCAAAAUUGUCUUUGGCUCGUAUUUGACCCAGAUUACUACCAAAAACCCUAUUACGCGUCCCAUUUCCCGACCUUCCUCCUAAAACUAUACCAAAUCCAAAAAAAAAUAGAGAAAGCAAGAAUCCUCACUCUCUUGCUUUGAAACUGAAAAAAUGGAGAAGGCUGAUUGAAGGCGCGAAGAAACGAAUGCGUGUGGCUUGAUUUGAAGAAGAUUUCGAAAUGGCCGGCAAUGAGAUCGACGUUUGGAUACCCAGAAAAACAAAUGGUGGAGAUGAAAUUCCUCAUUACGGUGAGUUUGGUGUUUAGAGUUUUGGAUUUCUGUUUAAAAUCUUCUAAAUCGGAUUUGGGGUUUUGAAAUUUCGAAAUUGGGGAAAAAGGGAUGUGUUGGGUUUCAAAUCUUCGAUAUUGGGAUUAAAGGGUUUUGGUGUAGGGUUUGUUUGAGGUUUAGUGUUUGAAAUUUAUGAUUCAAAAUUUUGAUCUGGGAAAAAAAAAAAAGGUUUGGGUUUAGGGUUUCAUAUCUUCUGGGGUUAGGAAGUGGGUUUAUGUUUUCUGGGUUUCAUAUCUUCUGGGAUUAGGACCUGGGUCCAUGUUUGCUAUAUUCUUCACUCUCUACUCUAUUCUAGGGAAGCAACCCAGUGACGCUGGUUUAUGCACCACGCUCUGUUGCUGUGAAAGAAGCACCAACUGAAACAAAUGGCUUCGAUUUCGAUAGACUGCUGCCAACUGCGGCUUGGGUGAGAUGGGCAUAGCAGCCUUCUGAAGUUCAGCUUUUGUCUGUAAACAGUUUGAAUUAUGUGGUGUUCAUGGGAAGAUGUUCGUGAUGGAGGGACUAGUCGUGUUGAUGUGAUACCCCGGACCUAAAACAGUGGGGUUUUAUUUUUAAUGAAAAAGAUGGCUGAAUUGAAGGCAUUAAGGAAACAAGAAGCCAAAGCUACUGUUGCCACAACUGCACCAAAAUCCAAAGCUGCUGCCACAUUUACCUCGACAAGCACAAGGCCUCCGGCCUCAACUAAAGCAUCAAAGGGCCAAAUUCCAGUAGCUUCCAGAUCAUCUCAGAGGAUCAGGGACAAUGCCAAACAAGGGAGAAAAUAGGAAAGAGGAACUAGAAUGUCACAUUAGCAAGCCCUACCAUUUUUUUUCCAACAAUGUUUUGUGUAACUCGGUUGGUAGCUCUAAUGCCAUUUUUGUUAAUAUGAUUAGAGCUAUUUGAAAUGCAAACUUUUCUAAUGUUGCAAACACAUUUGGGCUGCCAAGUCUUUUGGAAUUUAAGAAAUUUUCAUGUUUUGUAUGAA